This 852-nucleotide long non-coding RNA is filed under the name Mytilus galloprovincialis (Mediterranean mussel). Lineage: Eukaryota; Metazoa; Mollusca; Bivalvia; Mytilida; Mytilidae. The record is from RNAcentral.
GGCGAUCGCCAAUUAAAUACACAACAUUACACCAAAUUGGAAAACUUUGACCCUAAACGCACUCAUAUGUAUUAUCAAUACAUAUGUCAAAGGCAUGUACACCAAAGGUGUUAUAGAUUACGCCACAUUUAAUUACCUUAAUAACGGUAUUCAAAUUGAUUAUGGGCCGCCUGGGUAUAUGCAUAGCUUGCCUAAAAUACACCGAUUAAAUGAAUCAAAAUAAGUAAAAAUCAAUAUAAAUGGGUUUAACAUUGAUAACAUAAUGCCACCAUGUCGGGCAAUCAUAUCUCAGAUUUGUACUGUCACAGAAUUUAUUGGAUGCGAUAUCGAUUAUGUUUUAGUACCUAUGGUACAAAAACAACAUACGUAUAUAAAGGAUACGUCUAAUCUAAUAUACAAGUUGGAAAGAGUUAAGCCUAAUGCAGAUUGCUGGCUGUGUAGUUUUGAUGUAGUUUCAAUGUACACUAAUUGCCCGAUUGAUGAAUUAUUAUCGGCAGUUAGAAUUUCGUAUGAUCAGUUUGAUAAAUUAGAUUACAAAAUCAAAUGCCCACCUACGGAUGAUUUAAUCUAUUUCCUCAGAUCAAUUUUAAAGAACAACAUUAUCGAUUUUAAUGGACGGCUUUAUAAGCAAAAAAUAGGAGCCGCGAUAGGAGCAAUUUCGGCAUACUUUGACUAAUUUGCAGAUCUCUUCUUGCUUACCAUUAUUGCUAUUUAAAGUGUCUAUCUUUCAUAGUUAUCAAUAUAUUAGACUACUUUUUCUGUUUAGUCUGUUUUUUAUGAUAUACAUUUGACGUGAAACUGUACUUAUGUAUCCCGUCAUACUUUGAACCACACCAUUAUUUUAUUUAUUAU